CAAUAAGCGGAGGAAAAGAAAACAACAGGGAUUGCCCUAGUAACGGCGAGUGAAGCGGCAACAGCUCAAAUUUGAAAUCUGGCUCUUUCAGAGUCCGAGUUGUAAUUUGCAGAGGGCGCUUUGGCUUUGGCAGCGGUCCAAGUUCCUUGGAACAGGACGUCACAGAGGGUGAGAAUCCCGUACGUGGUCGCUAGCUAUUGCCGUGUAAAGCCCCUUCGACGAGUCGAGUUGUUUGGGAAUGCAGCUCUAAAUGGGAGGUAAAUUUCUUCUAAAGCUAAAUAUUGGCCAGAGACCGAUAGCGCACAAGUAGAGUGAUCGAAAGAUGAAAAGCACUUUGGAAAGAGAGUCAAACAGCACGUGAAAUUGUUGAAAGGGAAGCGCUUGCAGCCAGACUUGCUUGCAGUUGCUCAUCCGGGCUUUUGCCCGGUGCACUCUUCUGUAGGCAGGCCAGCAUCAGUUUGGGCGGUGGGAUAAAGGUCUCUGUCACGUACCUCUCUUCGGGGAGGCCUUAUAGGGGAGACGACAUACCACCAGCCUAGACUGAGGUCCGCGCAUCUGCUAGGAUGCUGGCGUAAUGGCUGUAAGCGGCCCGUCUUGAAACACGGACCAAGGAGUCUAACAUCUAUGCGAGUGUUUGGGUGUCAAGCCCGAGCGCGUAAUGAAAGUGAACGGAGGUGGGAACCCGCAAGGGUGCACCAUCGACCGAUCCUGAAGUUUACGGAAGGAUUUGAGUAAGAGCAUGGCUGUUGGGACCCGAAAGAUGGUGAACUAUGCUUGAAUAGGGUGAAGCCAGAGGAAACUCUGGUGGAGGCUCGCAGCGGUUCUGACGUGCAAAUCGAUCGUCAAAUUUGGGCAUAGGGGCGAAA
RNAcentral lists this ribosomal RNA (866 nucleotides) under Bipolaris setariae. RNAcentral's name for it is "partial large subunit ribosomal RNA". It matches the Rfam family "Eukaryotic large subunit ribosomal RNA", at positions 44 to 928 of the family's 3401-position model. Lineage: Eukaryota; Fungi; Ascomycota; Dothideomycetes; Pleosporales; Pleosporaceae. The record is from RNAcentral.